AUACGUAGGGUGCGAGCGUUAAUCGGAAUUACUGGGCGUAAAGCGUGCGCAGGCGGUUUCGUAAGACAGAGGUGAAAUCCCCGGGCUCAACCUGGGAACUGCCUUUGUGACUGCGAGGCUAGAGUAUGGCAGAGGGGGGUGGAAUUCCACGUGUAGCAGUGAAAUGCGUAGAGAUGUGGAGGAACACCGAUGGCGAAGGCAGCCCCCUGGGCCAAUACUGACGCUCAUGCACGAAAGCGUGGGGAGC
RNAcentral lists this ribosomal RNA (247 nucleotides) under uncultured bacterium. RNAcentral's name for it is "partial 16S ribosomal RNA". It matches the Rfam family "Bacterial small subunit ribosomal RNA", at positions 523 to 769 of the family's 1533-position model. The record is from RNAcentral.